UAGCUCAGCUGGAUAGAGCAACGGCCUUCUAAGCCGUGGGUCGGGGGUUCGAAUCCCUUCAG
RNAcentral lists this transfer RNA (62 nucleotides) under uncultured Eisenbergiella sp. It matches the Rfam family "tRNA", at positions 8 to 63 of the family's 71-position model. From Rfam's summary of the family: Transfer RNA (tRNA) molecules are approximately 80 nucleotides in length. Their secondary structure includes four short double-helical elements and three loops (D, anti-codon, and T loops). Further hydrogen bonds mediate the characteristic L-shaped molecular structure. tRNAs have two regions of fundamental functional importance: the anti-codon, which is responsible for specific mRNA codon recognition, and the 3' end, to which the tRNAs corresponding amino acid is attached (by aminoacyl-tRNA synthetases). tRNAs cope with the degeneracy of the genetic code in two manners: having more than one tRNA (with a specific anti-codon) for a particular amino acid; and 'wobble' base-pairing, i.e. permitting non-standard base-pairing at the 3rd anti-codon position. Lineage: Bacteria; Bacillati; Bacillota; Clostridia; Lachnospirales; Lachnospiraceae. The record is from RNAcentral.